CAAGUUUUAGUAGCGGGCGGAGGAGAGGUAGGUCGAGGUCUGGUGAGGAGCUUUUUAAAUGUGGAUCGUUACCUGAGAGAAGCCGAGUCAAUGCUUCUCGAUGAAGAAAUGGAUUCAUACUGAAAUGGGGGAGUGAUCGAGACUGGGUGAAUCAUGGCCUGGUAUGGAAACACCAAUGCCUUUGAAUGUAAAAUCCUACAAAAGGUAGAUAGGGCCCAGUACACCACGGGUAAAGCCCUCCCAACCAUUGAGCGCAUCUGCAUGAAAACAGCAUCCUUCAUUAGAGAUCCUCACCAUCCAGGUCAUGCUCUUUGCUCGCUGCUGUCAUCAGGAAGGAAGAACAGGAGCCUGUGAACUCGCACCACCAGGUUCAAGAACAAUUAUUACCCCUCAACCAUCAGGCUCUUGAACAGAAGGGGAUAAUGUGAGGGGCAAGUUUUUUACAGAGAGUGGUGGGUGUGGAAUGGGCUGCCGGCAUUAGUGGUGGAGGCAGAUAGGAUAGGGUCUUUUAAGAGACUCCUGGAUAGGUACAUGGAGUUGAGAAAAAUAGAGGGCUAUGGGUAAUCCUAGGUAAUUUGUAAAACAAGUACAUUUUCGGCACAGCAUUGUGGGCCGAAGGGCCUGUAUUGUGCUGUAGGUUUUUUAUGUUUCUAACUACACUCAUGCCCCAUCAUUGAGAUGUUUCCAACAACCAUUGAUCUCACUUUAUGGACUCAAUCUCAUGUUCUUGUUAUUUAUUGCUAUUUAUUUAUAUUUUUAUUUGCACAGUUUGUUUUCUGUAAUCUGGUUGAUCUUGUUAUAGUUAUUGUUAUAUAGAUUUGAUGAGUUUUCCCACAGGAAAAUGAAUAUCAUGAUUGUAUAUGGUGUCAUAUAUGUACAUAUUUUUAUAAUAAAUUUACUUUGAGCUUCAGUGGC
Hypanus sabinus (Atlantic stingray) is the source of this 915-nucleotide long non-coding RNA. RefSeq lists it as uncharacterized. NCBI's taxonomy places the organism in Eukaryota, Metazoa, Chordata, Chondrichthyes, Myliobatiformes, Dasyatidae. The record is from RefSeq and is a predicted model, not a curated record. The transcript has 2 exons.